AGGCGCGUAGCUCAGUGGGAGAGCACUACCUUGACACGGUAGGGGUCGGCGGUUCGAAACCGCCCGUGCCUACCA
RNAcentral lists this transfer RNA (75 nucleotides) under hydrothermal vent metagenome. RNAcentral describes it as "tRNA-Val-GAC". It matches the Rfam family "tRNA". Rfam says of the family: Transfer RNA (tRNA) molecules are approximately 80 nucleotides in length. Their secondary structure includes four short double-helical elements and three loops (D, anti-codon, and T loops). The record is from RNAcentral.